AGGUAGGAAGACCCGCUGAACUUAAGCAUAUCAAUAAGCGGAGGAAAAGAAACCAACAGGGAUUGCCCUAGUAACGGCGAGUGAAGCGGCAACAGCUCAAAUUUGAAAUCUGGCUUCGGCCCGAGUUGUAAUUUGCAGAGGAAGCUUUAGGCGCGGCACCUUCUGAGUCCCCUGGAACGGGGCGCCAUAGAGGGUGAGAGCCCCGUAUAGUUGGAUGCCUAGCCUGUGUAAAGCUCCUUCGACGAGUCGAGUAGUUUGGGAAUGCUGCUCAAAAUGGGAGGUAAAUUUCUUCUAAAGCUAAAUACCGGCCAGAGACCGAUAGCGCACAAGUAGAGUGAUCGAAAGAUGAAAAGCACUUUGAAAAGAGGGUUAAAUAGCACGUGAAAUUGUUGAAAGGGAAGCGCUUGUGACCAGACUUGCGCCGGGCGGAUCAUCCGGUGUUCUCACCGGUGCACUCCGCCCGGCUCAGGCCAGCAUCGGUUCUCGCGGGGGGAUAAAGGUCCUGGGAACGUAGCUCCUCCGGGAGUGUUAUAGCCCGGGGCGUAAUGCCCUCGCGGGGACCGAGGUUCGCGCAUCUGCA
RNAcentral lists this ribosomal RNA (580 nucleotides) under Chaetomium globosum. Its description in RNAcentral is "eukaryotic LSU rRNA". It matches the Rfam family "Eukaryotic large subunit ribosomal RNA", at positions 13 to 605 of the family's 3401-position model. Lineage: Eukaryota; Fungi; Ascomycota; Sordariomycetes; Sordariales; Chaetomiaceae. The record is from RNAcentral.